GUGGGUACCUACCUUUGGGUUCGGGAUAGCCAUCAGAGAUGGUGGGUAAUACCGGAUGACGUCGUGAGACCAAAGAUUUAUCGCCCGAAGAGGGGCCCACAUGAUAUUAGCUAGUUGGUGAGGUAACGGCUCACCAAGGCGAAGAUGUCUAGCGGGUGUGAGAGCACGACCCGCGCCACUCGCACUGAGACACUGGCGAGACACCUACGGGUGGCUGCAGUCGAGGAUCUUCGGCAAUGAGCGCAAGCUUGACCAAGCGACGCCGCGUGAGCGAUGAAGGCCUUCGGGUUGUAAAGCUCUUUAGUGGGGGAGAAAAGCCCGCAAGGGUGUGAUCUAUCCCAAAAAUAAGCACGGGCUAAGUUCGUGCCAGCAGCCGCGGUAAGACGAACCGUGCGAACGUUGUUCGGAAUAACUGGGCUUAAAGGGCGCGUAGGCGGGCUGACAAGUCUGGGGUGAAAUCCCGCGGCUCAACCGUGGAACUGCCUUAGAUACUGUCGGCCUC
This 502-nucleotide ribosomal RNA is filed under the name uncultured Planctomycetota bacterium. Its description in RNAcentral is "bacterial SSU rRNA". It matches the Rfam family "Bacterial small subunit ribosomal RNA", at positions 117 to 643 of the family's 1533-position model. The record is from RNAcentral. Lineage: Bacteria; Pseudomonadati; Planctomycetota.